Molecule: long non-coding RNA, 680 nt
Filed under: Gossypium raimondii (Peruvian cotton)
Lineage: Eukaryota; Viridiplantae; Streptophyta; Magnoliopsida; Malvales; Malvaceae
Description: long non-coding RNA (GRAI_LNC003044)
Source: RNAcentral
AUUUUUCAAAAAUCGAAUAAUGAUGAUGGCGAGGGCACACCAAGCUAAGUGCUACCAUUUAUUUUCUUCACAAACCAACACCCAAGACCCAAACCUAAAUAAAAAAGAAAAACUACAACACACACCUAACCCAAAUACACUUUUCCUACAAACAAAACCCAACACCCCUAACCCAAAUAAAAACCCAAAUCCACUUAAUAUACCUACCCCAUGGCAAAUACCAAUCCAACACCCAAAUAACACUAAUUACCCAAAACCUAAAAAUAUAACCUAAAUACCCAAAAUUCAAACAAGGCCAACGAAACCCAAAAGAAAAAAAAGCAACAGAGAGAAGGAUUGGGCCAAACAACAAAAUAAGGCCAAAAGAGAAAAAAAGAGGAGAAAAAGAACAAAAAUAAAAAAGGCCUAAAUCGGCCAAAAAGAAGAGUAAAAUAAGAAAAAAAAUCAAAAUCUCGAAACCCCCACCCUUCUUCCUCACCUUUCUUCUUUUCUUCUCAACAGAAAAAACCCUAACCCCUUUAACACCAUAGCAUCACCACCCUAACCGCCUACGCCACCAGCCAACACCAUUGUUCUACCCUUCAUUCUCUCCCUCACGCUCGGAAAACCCCGCACCCAACCAACUCAAAAUGGUGUAGAUUUGCGAGCACUAUCGCCCAUUUCAUCUUUCUCAUCACCAC